AUGAACGCUGACAGAAUGCUUAACACAUGCAAGUCGAUGGGGAAGUGGUGCUUGCACCAUGGUAACCAUGGCGGACGGGUGAGUAACGCGUAAGGAACUUGCCUGCGGGACUGGGAUAACAGCAGGAAACUGCUGAUAAUACCGGAUAAGGUCAUUAAGCUGCAUAGCUUAGUGAUGAAAGGAGACGCCUGCGGAGAGCCUCGCGUCCUAUUAGCUAGUUGGAGGGGUAACGGCCCACCAAGGCGAAGAUAGGUAGCCGGCCUGAGAGGGUGGACGGCCACAAGGGGACUGAGAUACGGCCCUUACUCCUACGGGAGGCAGCAGUGGGGAAUAUUGGACAAUGGGGGCAACCCUGAUCCAGCAAUUCUGUGUGCACGAAGACGGUUUUCGGAUUGUAAAGUGCUUUCAGCAGGGAAGAAGGAAGUGACGGUACCUGCAGAAGAAGCGACGGCUAAAUACGUG
RNAcentral lists this ribosomal RNA (462 nucleotides) under uncultured bacterium. RNAcentral's name for it is "partial 16S ribosomal RNA". It matches the Rfam family "Bacterial small subunit ribosomal RNA", at positions 29 to 507 of the family's 1533-position model. The record is from RNAcentral.